This is a long non-coding RNA of Sander lucioperca (pikeperch), 5598 nucleotides long. RefSeq lists it as uncharacterized. The record is from RefSeq and is a predicted model, not a curated record. NCBI's taxonomy places the organism in Eukaryota, Metazoa, Chordata, Actinopteri, Perciformes, Percidae. The transcript is spliced from 2 exons.
ACAAAAGGAAAAAAAAAUACAAAAAACUUGUUUAAAAAGUGCAACUGGAUGCGGGCAGUGAGGAGGGUACGGGUUGGGGAGGGUUGUUCAGAACGGAGCAAAACAUAUCACAAAGUGUUUAAAGAGGUUUUUUUAAUCAACAUUGUGCAGCUGUUGUUGAAUGCAGCUUCAGCGCGUCUCUGACUGAAUGGCAAUCUAACGCCACACUGUGGAUGAAGCUGUGCCUGAUCUCCUCUUGGAUGCAAACCAGUCAGAUAGAUACACACGGUGGAGCAAACAAAACAAAAGAGCAGGAAAAAUCCAGGAAGUUUUACGGAAGCAAGCUGCCCUUAUAAGUCCCCUUACAAACGACACAUUUUCACAGAUUAAACUAUAAAUUCAAAUGAAGAAGAUAUAAGGUGCUUGAUAUGCCGAGUCAUUUGAACAACACUUAAAUUCGCAAAUGCUUUUUGACUAUCAUAGAAAGGAAACGGGGCUAAACAGGAAAAACGGGGGCAACUUGUUCUUCCCCUUCUAAUGCAUUCCCUCCUAAUCCGCAAACAUUUACAGUAUAUUGCCAGUGUAAAACAAAAUCUCAACAUGUAUGUGUGCUUUUAUUAGUAUUUUUUAUGCUGCAUUGACUUUGUUAACAAGUGGCAAAAUUGUACGAACUGCUAACGUUUUAGUGAAGUCACAAAUACUAAAGCCUGGACAGUUGUACCCAAAUAGCCCGUGUGUAUCUACUGAGAGGACGAGAAUAUCUAAAGAAUCAAUCAUUGAAUCAGUUAAUCAAUCAAUCAGUGAGUGAUUUCAGAGGGACUGGGGUGUUUAAAUUAUUGAAGGUAGAAGAACAACAGAAGAAACAAGGACGAAUUAUGCAGUAAUGAAAGAGUGUACUUCUAAACGCCGCAGGAAGGAAAGACUUUUCUUGACAUCUUCAUUUGAGAUUGUUGUUGUGGGUUUGUAGUGCAGACGACCGAACAAAACAGCUCUAGCAAACAUCCCAAACCAGAGUCCUUUGUCAGAUAUUCAUUAGCAUGGGCAGAGCAGGCAGAGUUUAAACUGGUGUCCAGGCCUUUCCUUAACUCGAAGGAUUACUGGACAGAUGGUUGAGAGGAUGGACAGAAUUUAUAUUCCAUGUUUAGCACAUUCCCGGAAUUACGAUCGCUCUACUUGAAUCGAGUGGUUAAGAUGGCCCGAAGCCCUGAACUGUGAGAGUUUUGGGAGUCAUGGAAGGGAAAGGAGCUAAAGUGGGCCAACAUCGUGAGGAGCUAGAGACUGAGGGAUAGGAGGAAAAAACAGAGAAUCUAAAGGUCUAAAUGAUGACGACGCUGCAGGGGAAGCAACGGAACAAUCAGCAUGGUGACGGGUGUAUACUUUUCUUCUAGGGGGCCAAGCAGCAGUAGUCAAAGCAUUCCUGUGUUAGAUUAAUUUGGUUCCCCUCAUUACCUGGUUUAGUAUCUGGACGAUCAUAACCUUAAACUUCUAACCCAAUUCCAGACUGCCCUGCCCUGAGUAACAACUUUGGGGGGACUUUCUGAUUGACAUUUGCUGUCUUGCUAUAGUUUAUUGCAGUCGCGGUGUCUGUUGCUGGGACCUUUAGCUGCUUGAAAUUUCAUUGGCCUUGAUAUCCUGUUGUGAUGUGGAUGUCUGGAAAAAUCUCAAACACUGUCUGCUUUUCUGCAUUGCAUUGUAGAGACUAGAGACUCCAGUCUUGUUUUUCGUCAUGAGUCUGGCAUGCCUGACGUAGGGUUCAGACAUUUGAAUUACCUUGGUUUGCUUAAUUUACAUGUAAAUUCUAAAUAUUAGUUCAAAUUAGGCAUAUUUAAAUGAAAUUAAACAAGAUCAGUACUCUACACCUGAGGCAAGUCCAAUCCACUAACCUAACCACUAAUACAUUAGGCCUAUAUCACUUAAGAAUUUCAAAGUGCUGCCUCUUGUACUUGGACUUACCCAGGUUUCUUGAGUAGAAGUUCAGUAGAAGUCAACAUUGACUUGGGAUCAGCCAAACUGCAUACGGUAACUGCAAACAUUCUGUAUUCAGGCUGAUACUGCAAGUUACAAAGACAAUCACACAUUUAUAGGCCUAUUACAUUUUUUGUCGAGUUUCACAUAGUCUCACAUUAUGAAAAGGACCUGGCGACGCAGAUUCCCAUCACCCAUUCCCAUCACCAUAGUAACUCGCUGCCGAGAAGGGGGGGAGAGAGGGUGCUCUGCUCUGCUCACAGUCACAUGCUGGAUGUCAUCCAUGUUCCCACACGGAUCAAAGCCUUUAUAAAAUGAAAAUACAUAUAACUGUUAAAAGUAUUCCUCUCCCCGUCAUCCCUUGUUUAGCUUUUUGGCUAGUAGCCGACGUGACCUGCACUGGCCCUGACAUGUCGCUCACUAAAUUACGACAAGCGUACACGUCACAUCAUCAUAUAAGAAAGCCUACCUUGGACAAAUAACUAAUUCAUAAUAAUAAUAAUUUAUACUUUAUUAAUCCCGCAAGGGAAAUUACAAUGUUACAUUCAGGUAAAGCAGUAACACAGUGUUACUUGAAUUAGUAACUGUAAUAAAAUUACUGUUUUGAAAAUUGUAAUUCCUUACAGUACUCAUUACUGUGGAAAGUAAUAGUUAAGCAAUAUUACACUUGAGGGUUUGAUUUAACGUCAUUAUUGGCAUGACGUAACCAUCACAACCUUAAUGUUCAUUGCAUCGCUAUGCAUCAAGGUCUACUCUCCGGCAACAGGCAAAAGUAGUUGGAAUAUCUGCAAGCACGUCCAUUGUUUUGUGGUGUCAAUCAAAAGUCCCCUUUCACCCUUGCCCCAGUGUGAACCUUCCUCCGACCAGGCCUGUGUUUAAUACCCAGUCCCAGUUGUGUCGUCUCUGCUGACCCUAGCCUUAUGAGCCCUAAACCAGAGCCCUAGCCCUUCUUCCCAGCCUCGUGCCCCACCUGAGCGGUCCCACCGAUGCAAUUUGAACAUUCACACUUCUACCAAUGUGCCUUUUUAGAUUUCAUAUCAUUCGAGUUGCCAGAGGAGGACAUUUACCUGGUCUUUUAAUAGGAUGCAAGCUUAGGGAAACCUGUUCUUAGUCGUUAGGUUCUAUGCAGUCAGGUUUUUUACCAGACCUGGGAAUUUAAAAAAAGCUAAAAAAAGGAAAAAAAAGUAUUUUUUGGAUAAAAAAGUAAACUGUAUUUAAUGUACUGUACGCUUAUAUGUAAGUAGACAGCGUGUUCUGGCUUGGAGCCAAUGAGACAGACGCUUUUAGCAAACCGAGUCCAGAUCCCAGUCCCCCCCCUCAAAGUUCUCCCUAACCCCCCAACCUUCCUGUUCCAAGCCCCAGCCCUGUUUCCAUGAUGAACAACGCGUCUCUUCUUGUAUUAUAGCUUAUCAGCUUUUUAUCAAUAUUUGAUCGGCUUGUCCGUAAGCCAAUGUAGUCUUCAGUACAAAGUGUGUGGUCGUAUGUUGUAAAGCAGAUUUUCUUUUUUUCUCUCUUUCUCUUUUUUAAGAAGAAUCUUUUCUCUUAUUACUUUUUAUUUGUCUGUUCUGGUUUACAUGUCUAUUAUAGAAAAUGUUAAAAAACAAAACAAAAAGAAAAAGAAAUAGAAAAAAACAACACAAUUCGCUAACUGACAGCAUGGUUCUGUCUGUGGUCAUUUUGACACAGUUAAAAUCCUACCCAAUCAACAGGAAGGCACGGAAACUGGAAAAGAAUCUAUUUGAAUAAAUCAAUCUAUAUAUAAAUGUACAAAAAAAUAUAUACGAUAUAUAAGGAGGGUGCCAUUUUCUGUUUUUUUCUGUUGCAAAUGCGUGUUUGCUUGGGGAGGAAAUAUUUUCUCAAAGACUGAACUGGCAGAAGUUGGCGAGGCCCCUCAGUGUUAUAAAUUUCCAACUGACUUUGUUGUGUUCUCUAUUGUUGCCAUGACAACACCCUCUGACUAGUACGGCACCCUGCGCAGGACAAAAUGGGACCGUAGUACUAUCCGCUCCAUUCACUGCUAUCUAUCCAAGGCAACAACACACAGACGUUUGUAAAUUGUAUGCAACAAAAUGGCAAACUUUACCAUUAUUUUGAAAUUGUGUAUGUAAAAGUUAUAUUUUUACAUGUAGACUGUUGUUAUUUUGUGUUUUAGAAAUAUGUUGUAUCGGUUUUUUUGUUAAAAUAUGAAAAAGUAAAAUUCAGUGUGUGUUGAAAAAAAUGUGUCACAUUGAAAAUGUAGUGAGGUCAAAAGUUCAGAAUCAUUUUAUUUUAAAUUUUUCAACCUUAUGUUUAUAUCUGUAGGGGAACAUUUUCAAGGGUUUGUGGGAGGAAUCAGAAAUCAUAAAAGAUAUAUAAUAUUUGUUUAAUUCUCCAUGCCUCAUGACAUUACCAUUUUUAAAUGUAUUUUUUAUUAUUGUUUUGCAGAGAAAUGUGUAAAUAGUCAUAAAACAUUUUCUGUGGGGUUUCUGUAGGGCGAGGACUUGCCAGUGAGAGUCGAUGAUGAUGAACUUGUUUGGAUUUUUAGUGAGGUUAUAUUUGUACGGUUACAGUAGCCAGGUACCAACUUUUAGUUUGUGUCACUGGUGCUCAGUACUGUAUGUGGUUUUGGUUGCUGACCAUCUCAAGUGUAAGUCAAACCAUUGUCUUUGCUUGCAACAAGAAUCACUUGUGUCAGAGCCGGAGUGAGGCCUUUUUUUGCGGCAUGUAAAGAUUUAAUUUUGAUUUACAAGGAGGGAAACAAGCUGGUGAAACUGGCAAAAAAACAAAAAAAACUACAUGUUCUGUAAACUGCUAUUCUUAGGGAAAGUUUGAAUGUAAAUUCAUAAAAACACAGGGUGUCAUAACUCAAAAGUACACUACCUGAUUUUGUUAUGUACCUGAAAAUUUAACAACAAAUAAAAAUUGGUUAUAAUGUAAUAUACAUCAGAAAUUGUUAUAGGGCGGUAUGACAGAAUCCAUGAUUUGUUUUAAUUACAUAAAUUAUGACAAAAACUUAACUGAGGUACCCAACGAGUGUUCACAAAUUCUAUUUACUUUGGUUCUACCUGGUGGCUUCGGGCCCGGCUCUGACUCCUGUGCAUUUAUUCUCUUCAAGUUGGGUUGUAAAUGUUGAUUAAAGGAAACACCCUCAGCACCUGAUUCAAGAUUAAUAUAUGAGAAUUUUGUAAAAGAUUGGAAUGUCACUAAUAUAAAAAAGCAGAUCGUCAGCAAACAAUCGUAUCAGCUAUUUCCCCAAAAAGAUAUCAGAUAAUGUGCAAGGCAGUUUCAGUCGUCGUUUUUUAGUGUUUGCCGUUAAAAUUGAGCUUUUUGUCAAAAGGAAAAAAAGCUACUUUGAAACGGACCUAUAGGUUAAACACUAGGAUUGAAUCUGUCAGUGUAAGUGCUAAAUGUUUUUACGUAAUGUUAUUUUUCAAUGCUUCAUUUCGUAUUUUCUCUUAGUUGUAUAAUCAAGUCAUCUCCCGAAUUACAGUAUCUUCAUUUUUAUGUUACCUCCUGAUGUGUCUAUUAGCCAAAAUGUUAACUUCUUUUUCUUUUCCCUCCUUGUUGUACAUACAGUACACACCUCAUUUCUCUUUUUCAGUGACUGUGCCAUGAGCUUUGUAAUCUGUUACUCUGUACCAGUUUUACUGCAAUAAUGAGUUGAAUUCAAAAUGG